This is a long non-coding RNA of Gasterosteus aculeatus aculeatus (three-spined stickleback), 4497 nucleotides long. The record is from Ensembl. NCBI's taxonomy places the organism in Eukaryota, Metazoa, Chordata, Actinopteri, Perciformes, Gasterosteidae.
CACUGCAAAUUAUUUGAAUCUUAUCAAGAUAAAAAAAACUUAGAUUUAGAAGUGUUAGAUAAUUGAUCUUGUUUUAAGAGUGAAUUUCUUAUUUUUAGUGUUUAACUUUACACUAAAAUCUUAAAUCAAGCACAACCUUAUCUUUUUUGUCUCAAAUAGGCAUGACAUCUUAAAAUUAGUCAGAUAACUGUUAAAUUAAGAUCUUUUACAUCUCUCCCUCAAAUUCUCAUCAAUAAAGCUUGUUUUAAGAUUCAGUAAACUCAAGUUGCUUGAUUCAAGAGUCACACAAAAAGCAUCUGAAAGAAACAGAGUUUAUUAUUGCUCUGACUUCAAGCAUGUUCAGACAAUGUGAGGAUAAAUUAUACAGCCUUCACCACAACUCACCAUACAGUCCAUGGAAUUGUUUAAUGACCAAAACAGUUUGUUAACAAAAACAGGCCCAGGAAACCGGCAAACUUGAUCACCCAAUAAAUCAAUGCUUCCCUUUCAUUCCUCCAUUUUAAUGUCUACUUCUGUGGGCAAUAAUAUCACAAAGACUAUAUUUUAUUGGCACAAACAUAUGUCCCUUGAAACUAACAGAAAAAUAAGAAAUACAGUCAAUGAGUUCAUGUACAAAUUCUGUAGCCUGGGCAACAUUGGGAACUGCCACCUCAUAUGCCAGCAAUUCUGGACUCAAAUUCAGUGUCUCAUAACGCUGGUACUCAAAAGCAACAUAAGAGGAAUCAAUCACAAAUAUAUCUUUUAUCAGUCCGAACACUGGGAAAGCAUCAUCUACAUCUACAAUAAUCAUAGAUUUACCACUAAUGUACUUAUUGCCAUUGAGGAUGUACCAUUUCACUGAGACAACAGAUUGCAUGACCUCUACGCCUAGAAAAUCUUUGACUUUUCUCUUGACAUAAUCAAAAUUUUUGACAGCUGAGACAGGCCCCGAUUCUCUUUCACUAGCAAAAAUUGGAUGCUCAAUGCCUAUUUCAUUUUGACAACAUUCAAGGAACUGGUUAUGGUUUGCAAGCGAUUUACAGACAUUUUUGAAAUUUAACUUAGAAGCCCACUGCUUAAAAUAACUGUGCUUAGCUUCAAAUCGCAUACACAUACUUCUUAUUAAUGGACCAAGAGAUAUGAUUUGGCUUGGUAGAUGUAACAUGUAAUGUUGCUUGGGUAUUACAUUGGCUUCAGAGAAAAGUUCUUUGAAAUGAUGCAGAUGUUGCUCAAUCAUGCGUCUGAGCCGUAACACGGUUUCUAAAGAAAUAACAGGAGCAAGGACAAUUUGAACAAUCUCAAUUAACUUGAGAAUAAAUUUGACAUACUCGUUGUCCAUACCGUUCAAAAGAAAAGGUAGGAUUUUUAAAAGUAUCAACAUUUGUCCACAUGACUGCUUUAAUUUAUUGUCAUUAGCAGCUAAAGUACUGACACUAAUAGGACAUGGCUUAUCUCUUAUGUCUAGAGGUGAGUAAGGAAAAUUUAGAAUAGCUGAGUUAAUCUCAUCUAAUUCUAUCUGUCCUGACAGAAUCAGGUUUUUUAAUACAAGCUUUAUUUCCAUUGGUGCAACACCUUCAAAAAUGACAUGCAUUAUAUCCUGUGGUGUUUGUUUGAUCAGAUCAAAUGCUGGAACAUCAACUAGUCUGCUUCUUCUGUUAAUCCCAUAAGUGGUUUUGAGGGAUGCUUUCAAUGUUUCUGUGCUUGCCUUAUCUAUUUCAACACACUGCCUAAUGUGCUUUUCCAAAGUUCUUUCAGCAAACCUAUUCUCCUCAAAAAUACUUUGCAUAUCCUCAAAGGAGCAUUCACAAUGUCUACAUUUGCUAUAAGCAAAACCAACACCUUGUUUAAAUCCAGCAAUAUCAUGUUGGGCAAGUGUGUCUCCACAUAUGGCGAUCACAGCACCAAACAACUCAAUUUCACCAUUUGGGGUGUCAAUCCUAACACCAUUGUACAGAAGUGUCAGAUCUUUUUGGAUUCUUUUUAGUAUAACAUCAACACCCCACUGAGAAAUAUUGUUUGCCUUGGCAAUAGCCAGGAGUCUUAUUGCAGCCAACUUCGACCUAAAUUUUGGAUCUAUAUUCCCUAAACUAUAAUAAAACAUCAGUAAUUUAUUUGCAGAGGCAUGGGUGCCUAAAGGGUUACAUAUUUCAAUUUCAUCGGUGUACAAUAGUAUUUGCAAUGCAUUUGGCCUUUGAGAAUAUAAUGGAUGGGAUGUAAAAAGGGCUCCAUCAGUAAAAUCAUACAAGAAUCCCUCACUUCUUUGUGGUACAGUGGUUAACAUGGUGAAGAUUCUGGGAUUGGUCAGUAACUGCUUAAGACUUUGAAUGAGUGGUACAUAGUAAAAACUUUUGCCUCUUAAGGCCAUGACCCUUGAUAGACCACGCUUUACCCAACAAAUCUUCUGGGACACCACAACUUCCUCUGGGUUGACUGGAUUGAAUAGUUCCCGGAUGGUUUUAUUCUGUCCAUAUGCUGUGGUUGAGAAAGGAUCCAUGAACGCAUCAAACGUAGCCAAAGCCUCCCCUUGGAGCUGAGCAGUUGUGUCUGGAUUCUCUUCAAACACCCUUCUGAUUCUCUCCCUUAGUGUGUCAAUGAGAGCAGCUUGGUACUGUUGCACCCCUGAGAUGACACUGUUGACAGUUCUCUGGGAAAAUAUUUAAAAUGUAAAUAAUUUUGUCACCCAUAUAAUUCACAAGCCCAUAUUUUACAUUAGAAUAAUUUAAAUUAAUAGUACCAUUAAAGCAUUUGCCCAUGAAGAUAAAUUUACCUGUGAUAACUGGCACUGUUCCCGGACACUGAUGGCGAAUGCCGCUGCGGAUCUAGCUAUAUCAGGUCUGGUUCUGGAGGUCACAGCAACAGCGUCUUCCUUUAUAAAAUGAGUUGUAAUUUUUUAAGAGCGAGUAGAUGGACACAGUCAAAGUUGCAAUUGAUUUGAAAGGAAAUGGACAUUUUUGAGGAGAUGCCCGAGAGGGGAAAGACUUCAUUUUAAUCCCGUAUUCGCUUCACUGGUCUGGAACCUGAGCAGCUCUAUCGUCUAAGGCGGCCGUCAGCUUCAGGCUGUGGUGACGGUUCAGGUAAAGAGGCAUCAGGUGGGACAGCCGUAGUGCUGGCCGCUGCAGGAGUGCUACAGCUGGCAAACACCGAAACACCAAAUGUUUCCUGUCCCAAAGACCGAGAAGGCGUCGUACUCCAUCCGCUUGGUGGGCAUCCAGUCCUCAAAUACUGAAGUUCAUGUCCUCCAACGGUCCCACCUCAAUGACGUCAGUGUUCGCGGUUCACCGCUUGAGUAACUGAAAGAUUUGGGUGCGUUACAUUUGACGAAGAAGUGCAAGAAGAGCGGCUCAAUGGAGCUGAUGAAUCUAAGAUGGAUACUUUUGACGAUGCCACUCUAUCGGUGUUGGAGGCUGCCAGUGUUGAUGAGGAGGCUUUGAAAGGCCUUAGCCGGGAUGACCUGAGGGAUCUUUUUCCUGGCCCAGAGAAUUUCCUCAAAAGAAAGAAACUUUGGAAUUUCAUCAGUGAAAAUUGUGAAAAUACCACGGACCAAGAUGCCAACAAUUGUGCCAUGCCACCAUGCCAGCCUCAAACCUCAACCCCCAUAUCUGCUGAGAAAAAAAUGAAAAUGCCAGACCCUCCAGAGUAUGUGGUGUACACAGAUUCAGAGUUAGACAUGGUGCGUAGUCAAUACUUUGCACUGCUCUGCAAUGGAAAGGAAAAAAAUUACAAACUGUCCAAGGAGCUAUGUUGCAGACUUGUAAGGAACACAAUAACCAGUAUGGUUGCUAUCCUGCGUGCUAGUCCCAUGGGGAAAGAAGUCAGUUACCCGUCAAAAUUGGAAAUAAGAGCCAUGUCACAGAAGAUUAUAGACUAUUACCCAAUGUUACGGGAUGAUGAUCCAAACAUGCCUUAUCUGACUAUCUACACCAAAAUGUACAAGCGACUCCAAAAUAUGAGAUCCCCACGGAAGAGGCAAGGCUCUGUACCACAAAGAGGAGCGGCAAAGACAGCUCUCUUCAGUGCAGACAACCAAGACAUGGAGACGGAUUGGACAGACACAAGCAACUCAAGUGAUAAUACCUUACUUCUUGAGAGCAAUGAUGACCUUACCGAGGACAACUCCAGUGAAGCAUUCCCAGCACAUCGACCCCCCUCUGUGCCAAGGAAGCCAAAGACCAAAACCUUCCUGCUGCCAUCCGCAUCAGCCUCAGGCUCCUCACUCAGGACUGUGAUCGCUUCACCAACCACGCCUGCAAAGGAUGAUGUUGGUAAGCCCACCUCAGCACACCUCUCAGCCUGUUAUCCAUGAUAAUGACUUUCAGAGUGGCAAAUCAGAGUCUAAACGGUUGGAGAUUAAAUUCAAAUUUCCUUAGUUUGUGGAUGUUAAUGGAAACUCUUUUUCCAGACAACUCCCAUUGUUCAUAUAAACAACAUAAAAUUAUUGUAUUUUUGUAUUACUAAUUAUUGUAUUAUUGUAUCAAUUAAGUUAAUUGAUUUGAGUGUUACAAGGGAAGUAGACCGACC